GGUCAAGCGAACAAGUGCAUGUGGUGGAUGCCUUGGCGAUCACAGGCGAUGAAGGACGCGGUAGCCUGCGAAAAGCUACGGGGAGCUGGCAAACGAGCUUUGAUCCGUAGAUGUCCGAAUGGGGAAACCCGGCCCUUUUGGGUCAUCCUGGACUGAAUACAUAGGUCUAGUGAAGCGAACGCGGUGAACUGAAACAUCUAAGUAACCGCAGGAAAAGAAAUCAACCGAGAUUCCCAAAGUAGUGGCGAGCGAAAUGGGAUGAGCCUUGCACUCUUUAUUUGUAUUGUUAGCCGAACGCUCUGGAAAGUGCGGCCAUAGCAGGUGAUAGCCCUGUAGGCGAAAACAGUAUGAAAGAACUAGGUGUGCGACAAGUAGGGCGGGACACGUGAAAUCCUGUCUGAAGAUGGGGGGACCAUCCUCCAAGGCUAAAUACUCGUGAUCGACCGAUAGUGAACCAGUACCGUGAGGGAAAGGCGAAAAGAACCCCGGGAGGGGAGUGAAAUAGAUCCUGAAACCGCAUGCAUACAAACAGUCGGAGCCUCGCAAGGGGUGACGGCGUACCUUUUGUAUAAUGGGUCAGCGACUUACGUUCAGUAGCAAGCUUAACCGUAUAGGGCAGGCGUAGCGAAAGCGAGUCCGAAUAGGGCGUUCAGUUGCUGGGCGUAGACCCGAAACCAGGUGAUCUAUCCAUGGCCAGGAUGAAGGUGCGGUAACACGUACUGGAGGUCCGAACCCACUAACGUUGAAAAGUUAGGGGAUGAGCUGUGGAUAGGGGUGAAAGGCUAAACAAACCUGGAAAUAGCUGGUUCUCUCCGAAAACUAUUUAGGUAGUGCCUCGUGUCUCACCUUCGGGGGUAGAGCACUGUCAUGGUUGGGGGGUCUAUUGCAGAUUACCCCGCCAUAGCAAACUCCGAAUACCGAAGAGUGCAAUCACGGGAGACAGACAUCGGGUGCUAACGUCCGGUGUCAAGAGGGAAACAACCCAGACCGCCAGCUAAGGUCCCCAAAUAUAGCUAAGUGGGAAACGAAGUGGGAAGGCUAAAACAGUCAGGAGGUUGGCUUAGAAGCAGCCACCCUUUAAAGAAAGCGUAAUAGCUCACUGAUCGAGUCGUCCUGCGCGGAAGAUGUAACGGGGCUAAGCUAUAUACCGAAGCUGCGGAUGCGUGCUUGCACGCAUGGUAGGAGAGCGUUCCGUAAGCCUGCGAAGGUGCCUUGUAAAGGGUGCUGGAGGUAUCGGAAGUGCGAAUGCUGACAUGAGUAGCGAUAAAGGGGGUGAAAGGCCCCCUCGCCGUAAGCCCAAGGUUUCCUACGCAACGUUCAUCGGCGUAGGGUGAGUCGGCCCCUAAGGCGAGGCAGAAAUGCGUAGCUGAUGGGAAGCAGGUCAAUAUUCCUGCACCAUUGUUAGAUGCGAUGGGGGGACGGAUCGCGGAAGGUUGUCCGGGUGUUGGACGUCCCGGUCGCUGCAUUGGAGAAGGCGCUUAGGCAAAUCCGGGCGCGUAAUUCAAGGGUGUGGCGCGAGCUCCUUAGGGAGCGAAGCAAUUGGAAGUGGUUCCAAGAAAAGCCUCUAAGCUUCAGUCUAACGAUGACCGUACCGCAAACCGACACAGGUGGGCGAGAUGAGUAUUCUAAGGCGCUUGAGAGAACUCGGGAGAAGGAACUCGGCAAAUUGGUACCGUAACUUCGGGAUAAGGUACGCCCUUGUAGCUUGACCAGCCUGCGCUGGAAGGGUGAAGGGGUUGCAAUAAACUGGUGGCUGCGACUGUUUAAUAAAAACACAGCACUCUGCAAACACGAAAGUGGACGUAUAGGGUGUGACGCCUGCCCGGUGCCGGAAGAUUAAAUGAUGGGGUGCAAGCUCUUGAUUGAAGUCCCGGUAAACGGCGGCCGUAACUAUAACGGUCCUAAGGUAGCGAAAUUCCUUGUCGGGUAAGUUCCGACCUGCACGAAUGGCGUAACGAUGGCCACACUGUCUCCUCCCGAGACUCAGCGAAGUUGAAGUGUUUGUGAUGAUGCAAUCUACCCGCGGCUAGACGGAAAGACCCCAUGAACCUUUACUGUAGCUUUGCAUUGGACUUUGAACCGAUCUGUGUAGGAUAGGUGGGAGGCUAUGAAACCGGAACGCUAGUUUCGGUGGAGCCGUCCUUGAAAUACCACCCUGGUUUGUUUGAGGUUCUAACCUUGGCCCGUGAUCCGGGUCGGGGACAGUGCAUGGUAGGCAGUUUGACUGGGGCGGUCUCCUCCCAAAGCGUAACGGAGGAGUACGAAGGUACGCUAGGUACGGUCGGAAAUCGUGCUGAUAGUGCAAUGGCAUAAGCGUGCUUAACUGCGAGACCGACAAGUCGAGCAGGUGCGAAAGCAGGUCAUAGUGAUCCGGUGGUUCUGUAUGGAAGGGCCAUCGCUCAACGGAUAAAAGGUACUCUGGGGAUAACAGGCUGAUACCGCCCAAGAGUUCAUAUCGACGGCGGUGUUUGGCACCUCGAUGUCGGCUCAUCUCAUCCUGGGGCUGUAGCCGGUCCCAAGGGUAUGGCUGUUCGCCAUUUAAAGAGGUACGUGAGCUGGGUUUAAAACGUCGUGAGACAGUUUGGUCCCUAUCUGCCGUGGGCGUUGGAUAUUUGAAGGGGGCUGCUCCUAGUACGAGAGGACCGGAGUGGACGAACCUCUGGUGUACCGGUUGUCACGCCAGUGGCAUCGCCGGGUAGCUAUGUUCGGAAGAGAUAACCGCUGAAAGCAUCUAAGCGGGAAACUCGCCUUAAGAUGAGAUAUCCCUGGGGACUAGAUCCCCUUGAAGGGUCGUUCGAGACCAGGACGUUGAUAGGUCAGGUGUGUAAGCGCAGUAAUGCGUUCAGCUAACUGAUACUAAUUGCCCGUAAGGCUUGAUCCU
Molecule: ribosomal RNA, 2881 nt
Filed under: Burkholderia sp. AU32357
Lineage: Bacteria; Pseudomonadati; Pseudomonadota; Betaproteobacteria; Burkholderiales; Burkholderiaceae
Also listed under: 1 other name
Description: 23S ribosomal RNA
Rfam family: Bacterial large subunit ribosomal RNA
Source: RNAcentral